Molecule: RNase P RNA, 265 nt
Filed under: Candidatus Pacearchaeota archaeon
Lineage: Archaea; Nanobdellati
Description: RNase P RNA component
Rfam family: Archaeal RNase P
About the family: Ribonuclease P (RNase P) is a ubiquitous endoribonuclease, found in archaea, bacteria and eukarya as well as chloroplasts and mitochondria. Its best characterised activity is the generation of mature 5'-ends of tRNAs by cleaving the 5'-leader elements of precursor-tRNAs. Cellular RNase Ps are ribonucleoproteins.
Source: RNAcentral
GCGAGUUGGAUAGCUCACUUCGGGAUUCAGUUGUUAGGUCAACAGAUGAUGUAAAUGAUUGUCGAAUUCUGAGGAAAGUCCGCACAUCGUAAAGUCCAUAUGUGAAAGCAUACUGCUGUGAGGUAGGGCUCUGGUAUAGAAACGAUACCCUUCGGGGAUGGAACGAGCACCCUGGACGAUGCAAGGCUUCGUGCCGCUUAGUUGAAUGUGAGCACCUUUCUUCUGGAAACAGGAAAGGACAGAAUGUGGCUUAUUUCUGACUCGC